GUGCUCACUUGGGCAGCACAUAUACUGAAAUUGGAACGAUACAGAGACGAUUAGCAUGGUCCCUGAGCAAGGAUGACCCGCAAGUUCGUGAAGCGUUCCCGUAUUUA
This 107-nucleotide small nuclear RNA is filed under the name Myotis davidii. The record is from RNAcentral. Lineage: Eukaryota; Metazoa; Chordata; Mammalia; Chiroptera; Vespertilionidae.